This 2072-nucleotide ribosomal RNA is filed under the name Cronobacter sakazakii. RNAcentral describes it as "bacterial LSU rRNA". It matches the Rfam family "Bacterial large subunit ribosomal RNA", at positions 890 to 2925 of the family's 2925-position model. Lineage: Bacteria; Pseudomonadati; Pseudomonadota; Gammaproteobacteria; Enterobacterales; Enterobacteriaceae. The record is from RNAcentral.
UCAUCUCCGGGGGUAGAGCACUGUUUCGGCUAGGGGGCCAUCCCGGCUUACCAACCCGAUGCAAACUGCGAAUACCGGAGAAUGUUAUCACGGGAGACACACGGCGGGUGCUAACGUCCGUCGUGAAGAGGGAAACAACCCAGACCGCCAGCUAAGGUCCCAAAGUCAUGGUUAAGUGGGAAACGAUGUGGGAAGGCCCAGACAGCCAGGAUGUUGGCUUAGAAGCAGCCAUCAUUUAAAGAAAGCGUAAUAGCUCACUGGUCGAGUCGGCCUGCGCGGAAGAUGUAACGGGGCUAAACCAUGCACCGAAGCUGCGGCAGCGACACUAUGUGUUGUUGGGUAGGGGAGCGUUCUGUAAGCCUGCGAAGGUGUGCUGUGAGGCAUGCUGGAGGUAUCAGAAGUGCGAAUGCUGACAUAAGUAACGAUAAAGCGGGUGAAAAGCCCGCUCGCCGGAAGACCAAGGGUUCCUGUCCAACGUUAAUCGGGGCAGGGUGAGUCGACCCCUAAGGCGAGGCCGAAAGGCGUAGUCGAUGGGAAACAGGUUAAUAUUCCUGUACUUGGUGUUACUGCGAAGGGGGGACGGAGAAGGCUAUGUCGGCCGGGCGACGGUUGUCCCGGUUUAAGCGUGUAGGCUGACUUUCCAGGCAAAUCCGGAAGGUUAAGGCUGAGGCGUGAUGACGAGGCACCACGGUGCUGAAGUGACAAAUGCCCUGCUUCCAGGAAAAGCCUCUAAGCAUCAGGUAACAUCAAAUCGUACCCCAAACCGACACAGGUGGUCAGGUAGAGAAUACCAAGGCGCUUGAGAGAACUCGGGUGAAGGAACUAGGCAAAAUGGUGCCGUAACUUCGGGAGAAGGCACGCUGACAUGUAGGUGAAGCCCCUGCGGGUGGAGCUGAAGUCAGUCGAAGAUACCAGCUGGCUGCAACUGUUUAUUAAAAACACAGCACUGUGCAAACACGAAAGUGGACGUAUACGGUGUGACGCCUGCCCGGUGCCGGAAGGUUAAUUGAUGGGGUUAUCGCAAGAGAAGCUCCUGAUCGAAGCCCCGGUAAACGGCGGCCGUAACUAUAACGGUCCUAAGGUAGCGAAAUUCCUUGUCGGGUAAGUUCCGACCUGCACGAAUGGCGUAAUGAUGGCCAGGCUGUCUCCACCCGAGACUCAGUGAAAUUGAACUCGCUGUGAAGAUGCAGUGUACCCGCGGCAAGACGGAAAGACCCCGUGAACCUUUACUACAGCUUGACACUGAACAUUGAGCCUUGAUGUGUAGGAUAGGUGGGAGGCUUUGAAGCGUGGACGCCAGUCUGCGUGGAGCCGACCUUGAAAUACCACCCUUUAAUGUUUGAUGUUCUAACCUGGCGCCGUGAUCCGGCGUGGGGACAGUGUCUGGUGGGUAGUUUGACUGGGGCGGUCUCCUCCCAAAGUGUAACGGAGGAGCACGAAGGUCAGCUAAUCCUGGUCGGACAUCAGGAGGUUAGUGCAAUGGCAUAAGCUGGCUUGACUGCGAGAGUGACGGCUCGAGCAGGUGCGAAAGCAGGUCAUAGUGAUCCGGUGGUUCUGUAUGGAAGGGCCAUCGCUCAACGGAUAAAAGGUACUCCGGGGAUAACAGGCUGAUACCGCCCAAGAGUUCAUAUCGACGGCGGUGUUUGGCACCUCGAUGUCGGCUCAUCACAUCCUGGGGCUGAAGUAGGUCCCAAGGGUAUGGCUGUUCGCCAUUUAAAGUGGUACGCGAGCUGGGUUUAGAACGUCGUGAGACAGUUCGGUCCCUAUCUGCCGUGGGCGCUGGAGAAUUGAGGGGGGCUGCUCCCAGUACGAGAGGACCGGAGUGGACGCAUCACUGGUGUUCGGGUUGUCAUGCCAAUGGCACUGCCCGGUAGCUAAAUGCGGAAGAGAUAAGUGCUGAAAGCAUCUAAGCACGAAACUUGCCCCGAGAUGAGUUCUCCCUGAGACUGUAAGUCUCCUGAAGGAACGUUGAAGACGACGACGUUGAUAGGCCGGGUGUGUAAGCGCAGCGAUGCGUUGAGCUAACCGGUACUAAUGAACCGUGAGGCUUAACCUUACAACGCCAAAGAAGU